This 253-nucleotide ribosomal RNA is filed under the name uncultured bacterium. Its description in RNAcentral is "partial 16S ribosomal RNA". It matches the Rfam family "Bacterial small subunit ribosomal RNA", at positions 524 to 776 of the family's 1533-position model. The record is from RNAcentral.
UACAGAGGCCCCAAGCGUUACUGAGAAUCACUGGGUUUAAAGGGUGCGUAGGUGGCGCGUUAAGUUCGUUGUGAAAUCCCUGGGCUCAACCCAGGAAUUGCUUCGAAUACUGGCGUGCUUGAGGCUAGUAGGGGUCACUGGAACUGACGGUGGAGCGGUGAAAUGCGUUGAUAUCUACAGGAACUCCGGUGGCGAAAGCGGCGUGCUGGAUCUCUUCUGACGCUGAGGCUCGAAAGCCAGGGGAGCAAACGGG